Long non-coding RNA from Sapajus apella (tufted capuchin), 2988 nucleotides. RefSeq lists it as uncharacterized. The transcript has 4 exons. NCBI's taxonomy places the organism in Eukaryota, Metazoa, Chordata, Mammalia, Primates, Cebidae. The record is from RefSeq and is a predicted model, not a curated record.
CGCUGCAGGGAGAGGGGCCUGGACUGGCCGGGCGAGUGUGUCAGAAGCGGCGAAGAAAGAGUCCGGGGUGGGAGUCGUGGCGGAAGGGCUGGCGGAGUAUCGGCCGGGGGCGUGGGGGAAGCGCAGGGGCCGGAGGGCCGGGGGAGGCUCACCCGGCGCCCCCCGGCCUAAGGAUACAGGGACCGGCCAUCUAUCUAGCCUGGGGAGGCUCUGGACUCCCCGAGCGGGCGGCGAGGAGGUUCUCUGCCGCCACCGGCGUUCACUGGGUCAGGGCCAGUUCAGCGCCCUGGCAGGGAAGGGGUCUCUGGGCGGGCCGGCCCCUCCUCUCGUUCCCUCCGGGGGAUGUUAUGUAAGGGGGGAGGGGAGGCGAGUAGGGGGCGGCGGUGCCGGGGCCUUAUGCAACCCAAAGGUUAGGGUUUCACCGCGGUCGGGCGGGGGGAAGAGGGCAAGAGGAGGGCCUGGAAACUCUAACCCCCGCUCCCCAGACUAACUGGCCGUCUUGGGCCGAGAGAAGGUCACCUCUGCACCUCCCCCCAGCCUAUCCUGUCGUGAGGCCCCUAGCCCAGGCCUGGCCCCGACUGCCUGGGAAGCCGGCUGGCUGGGUGGGGCGCCUGGGUUAGUCAUCACUGGGCUGCCUCUCUCCCCACCUCCCGGCCAACUCUUGGCCCCUCCCCAUGGCCUAGGCUGUCGCCCCCACCUCCCUCCGGCCCUGGUUCCAGCCUCCAACUCUUUUGGCCUGUCAUCCUGGCUGUCAGACUGGACGAGGAGCUGUCAGAGUGCCAGGGGGUUGAUGGAGCAGCUGGUCAGAGGGUCAGUGCCCUGGGCCCACCCCACCCUGCAGCCAAGGGCACCUGCUUGGCACAGACUCUCAGCAGCUGCCGAGUCCUCUGGGCUGAACGGAGCCAUCUCAGACAGAGGAAAGUCGGACAGAGUUGGACUGGUCACCUAGGGAAAGGAAGACACCACAAAGUUCACGCCUCCCAAGAGGGUUUCGGAAUUUGAACCGCGCCCCGUAUCCCCAAAUCUUUCUUACACUCUGAGUUUAGAAAUUCCAAGGCAAGACCGCCCGGGCCCCUCUGCCCACCGUGGGCCAUGCCCUUGGACCGAGUGUCGGCACACACCCACCCUCCCCAGCUCACAUCCCCCGAGCCUGCCACGCCCCCAGCCCCCUCCCUGGGCCAUGCUGCAGGGCCCGGCUUUUCCUGCUGAUUCAUGCGUUGGAACUGUGGGGGCGGGGCUUGCAACUUGGAACAAAGUUCAGACAUGGAGGGGCCGGCAGACAGCCUGGAAUUCAUACCAGAUGUACCCGGAAUGCGCAAGCGGAAUGCCUGGCAUCCGAGAGGCCUGGAGAAGCUGCCCAACCACCCUGCCCAUCCCUCCCUCCCUUCCAGCCUGUGGUCCCCUGUCCGCCCCCUCACAGCCCCAGGAGCCUCUGCUGACCUUCUUUCCAACGCUAGACUUCCUCCCUUCCUCGCUCUUCCCCAACCCAGGGCCCCAGCACACUCCUUCCAGCUCAGCUCCCUGGGAACCAGUCAGUUGGGCCGAUCCCUGAACUCACGUUUCUGGACCUGAGGUACCACACUUCUAGCACCUGGGUGCUGGUGGGGUGUGUCCAGGGUCUCAGGCCUGGCCCGCCUGAAUGCUGAGGAGGCUGGGCCCCGGGCGCUGCUGGGGCAGGGGAGGGCAGAGCUGGACUGGGUUUGUGUAGACUCCAGUUCGAAAGAAGAGCAAGGGGUCUGUUAGAGCUGCCUUUUCCGCUCGCCGGAGUUAACAGCUUCUGCAGGCCCAGGUCAGAGCUGCAACCCUUCUCUAGAAGCUUGAAGGUCUGUCUGCCGGGUGGGACUCCGAUGGCCAGUGGGUCAGUGUCCCUGAACCGGCCUUGCUCACGUGGCUCCCGUUGUUCCUCCCUCUCCCUCUAGGAGCUCGCGCCUCUCACACCCUCACCUGGCUGAGCCGCAGUAGUUCUUCAGUGGCAAGCUUUAUGUCCUCACCCCGCUAAAGCUGCCAGUUGAAGAACUGUUGCCCUCUGCCCCUGGCUUCGAGGAAGACAAGGAGGAGCUGCUUUCCCCAGCAUCUGGAAGGUGACAGAACCGGGGCUGGGAAGGUCCGCACGGCAGGGUUGGUGAUACGUUUUGGGAAAGCUGGAGAGCCUUUGCCCAGAUGGGCCCGCAAGGAGCAGUUUUUAGAUUAGCGACACUGGCUGAAUUGAGAAGGAGAAGGCUCAAACAACCCAAGUGUCUCCCUCCAGCCCUCGGCAUGUUCUUCUACCAUCUUCACCCGUCAUGGAGCAGAGGUGAGGAAAGGCAGCUUGGGAACACAAAGACCAGUGAAGGACCAGGUCUGGACAGCACAGGGUCCUCCCUGGGCAUCCAACAGAGGCGCCCAUAAACGCCGGAGCACCCCAAGAGGAGGGAGCACAGCCAGCCUCCAUCGACGGCAAGCCUCCAGCCCCUCGUACUUUGAUCACCAUUUCUCUCCAGUCUUUCUGCCUCCGACAUGGGGCACCGUCAGUGCAGUGCCCUGCGGCUUCAGCGCCCUACUUCCUCCUCCCAGCCUGUAAUGUUUAUAUAAGCAGACUCAAGGACCAAGAGCCAGCUGUGGAAGGACACACACAGGAAAUUCAUAAAGGAAAUUCUAAUGGUUAAAACCCCGAACCAAAUGUAUGCUUCAUUAGUAAUUAAAGAAAGGCAAAUAGAGCUGAAAGCGUUUUUCCCUUAGCAAACCAUCACAGAAAAAAAUAAGACCCAGUAUUGGCAAAGAGACUGCUAAAAUAACAUGCCCAUACAUUGUGUGUGGGAGGAUAGAUUGGUGCUGGCUUCCUGGACGGCAGUUUGGUGAUGUGUGCCAUGUAGCCUAAAAGCGUCCAUGUCCUUUGACCUACUAAUUCUAUGUUUGGGAAUUUAUCCUAAGAAAAUAAUUAAGGAUUUAGUUAGUUAUAAGAUCAUCUCAGGCCGGGCGCGGUGGCUCAAGCCUGUAAUCCCAGCACUU